UACGUAGGGUGCGAGCGUUAAUCGGAAUUACUGGGCGUAAAGCGUGCGCAGGCGGUGAUGUAAGACAGGUGUGAAAUCCCCGGGCUUAACCUGGGAACUGCAUUUGUGACUGCAUCGCUGGAGUGCGGCAGAGGGGGGUGGAAUUCCGCGUGUAGCAGUGAAAUGCGUAGAUAUGCGGAGGAACACCGAUGGCGAAGGCAAUCCCCUGGGCCUGCACUGACGCUCAUGCACGAAAGCGCGGGGAGCAAACAGG
This 253-nucleotide ribosomal RNA is filed under the name uncultured bacterium. RNAcentral's name for it is "partial 16S ribosomal RNA". It matches the Rfam family "Bacterial small subunit ribosomal RNA", at positions 524 to 776 of the family's 1533-position model. The record is from RNAcentral.